This 461-nucleotide ribosomal RNA is filed under the name Leptobacillium leptobactrum. RNAcentral's name for it is "eukaryotic LSU rRNA". The stretch from base 107 to 260 matches the Rfam family "5.8S ribosomal RNA". The record is from RNAcentral. Lineage: Eukaryota; Fungi; Ascomycota; Sordariomycetes; Hypocreales; Cordycipitaceae.
CCACUUGUUGCUUCGGCGCGCGCUUCGGCGCCGCCGAGGACACUUAAACUCUUUGUUUUUAUAAGCAUUUCUGAGUGGCCGAAAGGCAAAAAUACAAAUGAAUCAAAACUUUCAACAACGGAUCUCUUGGUUCUGGCAUCGAUGAAGAACGCAGCGAAAUGCGAUAAGUAAUGUGAAUUGCAGAAUUCAGUGAAUCAUCGAAUCUUUGAACGCACAUUGCGCCCGCCAGCAUUCUGGCGGGCAUGCCUGUUCGAGCGUCAUUUCAACCCUCGAGCCCGACUCUUUUGAGGACGGCUCGGCGUUGGGGGACGGCAGACUCCCCCCGGCAUCUCGCCGGGGACGCCGCCCCCGAAAUCUAGUGGCGGCCCUCCGAGGCGACCUCUGCGUAGUAACUUGUUCUCGCACCGGAAAGCUCAGAGCGGCCACGCCGUAAAACCCCAACUUUUUUCAGGUGACCUCGA